This 798-nucleotide long non-coding RNA is filed under the name Mus musculus (house mouse). Its description in RNAcentral is "long non-coding RNA chr13:119661841-119662639". The record is from RNAcentral. Lineage: Eukaryota; Metazoa; Chordata; Mammalia; Rodentia; Muridae.
CUCAAUAUGAUAUAGAAGUAAAAGUUAACCGUGGAAGAAUCUGGUGUGUCCUGUGUUUAUUUCCCGCGGGACGGGGAUAAGCUCGGGAUACUUGGUGCUAGAAACCCGGGAAAAAACGCCUUAACAACGCGGCACCUAGAGGAGACCCUCCGACCAACCGGAGCAGAUUUCAGAACCACGGUGGAUUUUGGAAUUCCGAGAGCAUGCUGAAUCCUUGUAAGUAACUCUGAUCCUUCUUAAUCCCUCCCCUUAACUGGAAGGUGGCACUAAAAGCCUUUUGUUCUCAUGCUGGCUGUGUUAACCCUAUUUCUCCCGGUUUGAUCCUGCACUCACCAGAAGUGGCGCUGAAAGAAAAAGUUUUGAAUGCUGUGAAGCACGAUCAGACGGACGUAUAUAAGCCGCAGUGCUCGUCUCAUAUUUAAGCCUCUCGUAGAUAAGGGAGCAGUAUGGGAAAUUCACAUUCUGUAACUACAGCUCUACACUCUGUUUUAAAACAGCGAGAGAUAAAAGUUUCUACAAGAACCUUAGAAACGUUCAUUAAGGAAAUAGAACGUAUAUCACCUUGGUACGCGUGUUCAGGGUCGUUAACUCUUUCCUCUUGGGAGAAAUUAAGGGAAGACUUAGCUAAGGAACAACAGAAUGGGAAAUUAAAGGCAGGGACCAUGCCAUUAUGGAAACUGGUGAGAUCGUGCCUGGAGGAUGAGAGAUGCCGUCCAGCAAUAAUAACAGGGCAGGCAAUAUUAGAAGAAGCACAGGACAGCAUGGCAGAAACGGAAUGGUGUGAAAGGUUAGGAGCUC